This 333-nucleotide long non-coding RNA is filed under the name Olea europaea (common olive). RNAcentral describes it as "long non-coding RNA (OEUR_LNC005147)". The record is from RNAcentral. Lineage: Eukaryota; Viridiplantae; Streptophyta; Magnoliopsida; Lamiales; Oleaceae.
CCAGUAUUCUUUUCCUUCAAAUUCCCUUCCAAAUCCCGUCAAACAAGCGCGAAAAGGAAAAUCACAUACUAUGAGAGUCACUUCUCAAGAACCCUACUAACCAAAAAGCCAUCCACCAUAAACAACUGAGCUUUUAUACAAUAUAAACUGAAUUUGAUGAUGAUUUUGUCCCAAGAACCAGAAAAAUCAAAAGAAAAGCGUGUUUAGAGAAUCUCAGUUUGCGGCUGUUGGAUGAGAAACAAGGGGUGGAGAUUGCAGGAAAAUACGACCGUUGGAGGCUUGUAGGUGAAAAUAUGACCGUUAAGGAGUUUGGUGUAGUUGUACGGACAUGGA